RNAcentral lists this ribosomal RNA (590 nucleotides) under uncultured bacterium. Its description in RNAcentral is "bacterial SSU rRNA". It matches the Rfam family "Bacterial small subunit ribosomal RNA", at positions 102 to 679 of the family's 1533-position model. The record is from RNAcentral.
ACGGGUGAGUAACACGUAGGUAACCUGCCUAUGAGACUGGGAUAACUAUCGGAAACGAUAGCUAAGACCGGAUAACUGGUUUUCUCGCAUGAGAGAAUCAUGAAACACGGAGCAAUCUGUGGCUUAUAGAUGGGCCUGCGGCGCAUUAGCUAGUUGGUAGGGUAAUGGCCUACCAAGGCGACGAUGCGUAGCCGACCUGAGAGGGUGAACGGCCACACUGGGACUGAGACACGGCCCAGACUCCUACGGGAGGCAGCAGUAGGGAAUCUUCCGCAAUGGACGCAAGUCUGACGGAGCAACGCCGCGUGAGUGAUGAAGGUUUUCGGAUCGUAAAGCUCUGUUGCCCUAGACGAACAGCAAGGAGAGUAACUGCUCUUUGUGUGACGGUAUAGGAGAAGAAAGCCCCGGCUAACUACGUGCCAGCAGCCGCGGUAAUACGUAGGGGGCAAGCGUUGUCCGGAAUUAUUGGGCGUAAAGCGCGCGCAGGCGGUCAAUUAAGUUGGGUGUUUAAGCCCGGGGCUCAACCCCGGUUCGCAUCCAAAACUGGUUGACUUGAGUGUAGGAGAGGAAAGUGGAAUUCCACGUGUAGC